Molecule: long non-coding RNA, 506 nt
Organism: Pygocentrus nattereri (red-bellied piranha)
Lineage: Eukaryota; Metazoa; Chordata; Actinopteri; Characiformes; Serrasalmidae
Source: Ensembl
UACACAUUCAAACUGGAAACCCUGUUUUACAUGUUUUACAUCAACUGGCAGUGCAGUGUAAACUCAGUCUGAAGAAGGAGCUUCUCAAGAUAAUCACCAUGAUCAGAGUGGGCAGCAUUAUUUGGACUGCAGUGCUAUGUCUGACUGGAUUUUCUCACAGUACUCAUGUCAUCCAGACUCCCUCUAAUCUGAUUAUGAAUCAAAAGGAAUCUGCUACAAUCAAGUGUUGGCACAAUGUAACGAGUUAUAAUCAAAUCAACUGGUACAAACAAACUCAAGAACAAGAGUUGAUUUUUAUUGGAUAUUACUUAGGAAAGUCAACACCCAACAAGGAAAAAGAGUUUGAGACUAAAGUGAACAUGACUGGAGAUGGAAACAGUGAUGUCUCUUUGACUAUCACAGGUCUUUCACUCACAGACACUGCAGUGUAUUUCUGUGCUGCAUAUUACACAGUGCUGCAGAGCUGCUCUAUUCAGUGCAAAAACGUCUUGGAAAUAUUGCCAAAG